RNAcentral lists this long non-coding RNA (442 nucleotides) under Rattus norvegicus (Norway rat). Its description in RNAcentral is "long non-coding RNA NONRATT007449". The record is from RNAcentral. Lineage: Eukaryota; Metazoa; Chordata; Mammalia; Rodentia; Muridae.
CAGGUCAAGUCAACUGGAAAAGUCACAAUAGGUACAGUAUCACAGAUCUGCAGGUCAGAGUUUGGAAGCUGAAGCAGAAGCAGUUGAAGACUAGCCCUAGCCACAUGUCAAGGCUACCUGAGCUACAGGGCACACUGUGCUAAAGGACACUGGAAUGUUUGGGUGUUCCAGAACAGCAAGAAGAAGAGAAAGGAGCUUGCAGAGAAGAAACAAAAUCCCUGCACAUAAUUUUGUUGAUUGCUCUAAUGCAAGAGCUCACUCUUUAGCCCAGGAUGGCUGCAAAAUCGCGUCAAUCAUUCUGCCUCAUCCUUCUGAAUGGUGGGUUACAGUGUGUGAGAUGUUUCACUUGCCCUUACAUCUUCACUCAAACAUAAGAGUCCAAAUUUUAUGAAGUGUACAACAAUCAGAUGAAAACCAAUAAAAUCAGCCCUGAUCAUUGCAU